Elaeis guineensis (African oil palm) is the source of this 795-nucleotide non-coding RNA. NCBI's taxonomy places the organism in Eukaryota, Viridiplantae, Streptophyta, Magnoliopsida, Arecales, Arecaceae. The record is from RefSeq and is a predicted model, not a curated record.
CGACUUCUCCCCUUCCUGACGGGAAGUAGGUCUAGUGGCUUAGUUUAGUGCGAUUUUACUCAGGCUACCGGCGGCCCUUUUGUUCCACGGCUAUGACGAUGGAAGUGGUGGAUGCAGGUGGAGGUGACACCCUGUUAUGAUGGCAAGCUCAAAGAGAGGCAAAAAAUUUAUAUUGGUCCGAUAAAUAUGACUAAUGGAAGGUGUUACUUUAGCCAUUACAUUAAGGUUAUGGACGGAUUUAUGAAGUCCAUGUUCGAGGAGUAGAAGGCAAGGGUGGUUGCUACUCCAGGUGAAGAGCCCCACCCAAUUGAAGUGGAUCCUAAUAUCCCUCAUAGUAGUGAAGAUGUGGAGGUCAGUUUCAAGGCUGAAGCUGAGUGUGAGAAAGAAUAUGCCACCACAAAAUAUAUGUUCUCGUUAUACAGGCAAGUGAAAAUGAGAGCUCAUGAGAGAAAGCCUAUCGAAAAGAGAAAUGUCAUAUCAUAUCUUUUUAAAAUCUAUAAAUAUGCAAGAAAGAAACAACACGAGAAAAAAAUGGAGGAAGGAUACAGCCUUACCCACUAGUGAGAGUGAUCCAAAUGCUCACUUAUCUUUAUUUUUGGAGCCUAUCACUGUUGCACUGAUAAAGCUACAACAGUCAUUUAAGGACCAAGAAGAUUCAUUCUUUCUAGAGAGGUUUAAAAAUUUUUCAUAUAUUAAUUAUUAAAUCAUUGUGACAUUUUGUAUCUUUAUAUCGUGUGCUUGUAUAACAUAUAUUAAACAUUCAAUCCACUUACUCAAAAUAUUUCUUAUACUUCA